CCCAUGUCCACUGCUGAAAGCACCUACAAUGGGCAUGUGAGCAUAAGAACUGGUCAACAGAGCAAUGGAAGAAGGUGGCCUGGUCUGAUGAAUCAUAUUUUCUUUUACAUCAUGUGGAUGGCUGCCUGGGCAUGCGUCGCUUACAUGAAGAAGCAGAUUCAUUUGCUCUUUCAUAACUUGCUGUUUGCAUCCUUUUUAUAUAUCUAACCUUUACACAUUAAAUAAUUACAACAGUUUUGGAAAAUAA
Long non-coding RNA from Spea bombifrons (plains spadefoot toad), 247 nucleotides. RefSeq lists it as uncharacterized. Lineage: Eukaryota; Metazoa; Chordata; Amphibia; Anura; Pelobatidae. The transcript is spliced from 2 exons. The record is from RefSeq and is a predicted model, not a curated record.